AUGGCUUCCAUGGCACAACCCUCACCUCUGAAGCGGCGUGAGGCUUCUGCAUCAAGAGAAGAUGAUAAACUGAUCAUAACUCCUUUAGGAGCUGGUAAUGAAGUCGGCCGCUCUUGUGUGUAUAUGUCCUACAAAGGGAAAACUGUGUUGGUAUGCCAUUAACACAAAUGCAUUAUCUUUUUUUGAGUAUUGAAUCUAGAGUUAUUAUUCUUUACUCUAAUUUUUUUUUUCUCUUCUUUCUUGCUUUUGUGAUUUUGGGUCACCUUCCAAUGAAUGAUAGUUUGAUUGUGGAAUUCACCCCGCAUAUUCGGGCAUGGCUGCUUUGCCGUACUUUGAUGAGAUUGAUCCUUCCAUAAUUGAUGUCCUCCUCAUUACUCAGUAUGUUUUUUUUCCUUUUUAUUUUAUUUUAUCGUAUGCUUAACUCAUAAGUCAUAGCAUCAAUACUGCAAUGUCCUUGCUUCUCCUGCUGCUCUAGUAUUUUAUGUGUCAGUUGCUUAUGAAAUGAUAAAACCAUCAGACAUGACCCAUUGGGUCAAAAUAUUUCUUAUUUGAAUUGAAUGAGCUAACCAUUUAAGUGUUUACUCUGAUUGAGUAGAACUUUGUUUUUCUUUCUCUCUGACUAAUUUCUUAGAGUUUUAAGAGAUGAAUUUUAAUAGGAAAACUGCUUUGUGCAUAUUUCCUUGAUUUUCUUAUCAGUUGAAAAGAUUAUAUCUAAUGUAGGACAAGUAGCUCAAAUACCAAAUUUACAAAGAACUAAAUGUCCAAUACCAACUAUUUACAACAAAGAGCUUUUACACCAAAAUGAUGUGGGAUGAAAUAGAUAACAACAAGCAAUAUUCCAGAAGAAGUGAUGGUUUGUUAAGAGAAAAAAAGUUAUGUCUGAAGUUGAAUUAAUGGCCAAUCAAGGGAAUCGGUUUUGGUUUUGAAGUUCUUAAGCUGGAAUAUGUUAUUAUGUGUUCAAGGUUUGGAAAGAGGCGAAAACUGAAAAUGUUUUGUUUAGAUUUGGGUAGCAGAAAACCUAGACUUGGUGACAGCUGUUUGUGGUGUCAAUGCAAUCAAACUAAUGCAGGAAUUGAAAUCAAAGAAGAGGAAGGAAAAAAAACACAAUUGUUAGGAAUCUUUCGUCCAAAAAAAAAAUGUUAAGAAUCACUUGUGACCAUAGUUGCAUGACAUAAUGUUCAAAUAUGGCCUUAUACCUUGGUAAUUGUUGAAACUUAUUUUCCAUUAGAAAAAACAAAAAAGAGAGUUAAAUUUAAGGUGCUUAGAUUCCCAAAUUCUUAUAGGACUGGACUUUCAAAUAGGCAUAUUUCAGCAUAUGAUGAAUAGGUAUGUCUGCCGAUAUUGAAUAUAACUUUGUAUGUAGGUUGAGUGAUCCUGAAAAGGUUGGAUGUUGUACAAGAAGGAUAUGUUAGUAAAAAUAAUUACUUUUUUUUUUCUUUAGAUAUGGAUUUUAUGUACGCGAGCUCUUUAAGAUGUGAUUAUUUUAAGAAAUUUAUUGAAUAUUGUUGAAGGAAAAAGUCAAAUAAUAUGUCAUGAAUUCUUCUCAUGUUUUUAUUUACAAGUGAUAUUGUCUCCAUGAUCAAUAAUUCCUUCUGAAAUUUCGCUGCUAAGAGCGGUGCGGUCCCCUUUCCCCUUAAUUCUCAGAUUAACAUAUUUUACAUUACAAAAGAUACAACACAUAAAAAAUACUAGUAGUAAUUGGCAUUAGAAUCGAAGUGGACCAGCAGUUCAAAAAAGAUGCUAAUAGUAAAUGGGGAAUACAAUUGAAGUGGACCAGCAGUGCACAAAAGAUACAUCCCUCAUCCUACAGUUGAUAGAAAACCACAAACAAAAUAAACGAGCAAAUAUCCAACCAUGCAGAAAACAUAACAAAGGCCACCAAAACAACAAUCAGGAAAUCGAAAGGUUCUCUUCUUAGGGCCAGUUGUACUGUGCUCUUCUUGACAAUCACGUAAAGAAUUUUUGUAACAUGUAAGAAGUCAUGCGCCAUGCACAAUCACAUUGUAUUCUACACAUCAGACUUUUUUUUCUUUUUUUUUCAUUUGACAACAUGGUUAUAGAUGUGUCUGAUUUCACCUUUUGCUGCCAAAGUCAUGUGUGGAAGUGUUACCUCAUUAUUGUAGACUCUUCAUCCAAUUGUACUAAUGUUAGGUCAUACUUUUUGCUUGCAGUUUUCACUUGGAUCAUGCCGCUUCCCUACCUUACUUUCUUGAGAAGGUUUUCACUUUUUGAAUGAAUAAUUAUAUAAUUAGUUGUAUUUUAUUUUCCAGGGAACUAAUAUCUCUAUAACUUUUGAUAGACCACAUUCAAAGGCCGAGUCUUUAUGACUUAUGCAACAAAGGCCAUCUACAAGUUGCUUUUGACGGAUUAUGUGAAAGUGAGCAAAGUUUCAGUUGAAGAUAUGUUGUUUGAUGAGCAGGACAUAAAUGCCUCAAUGGAUAAAAUUGAGGUUUGUUGUCUUCCCAUGACCUAUGUGUUUAUUGCCACAGGUUUUUUGUUCCCAACUGAACCUCCCUAUCACAUAUUUAUACUAAAUUUGAGUUGUGUUGUUUCUAAUGAUGUAUGUUUGAACCAACCAAAAUUUUCCAGCAUUACAGCUUGUAGUUGUGGCUGUGUUUCAUAGGGGAUGUAUAUUUUCUCUCUGCCAAAAUUCCAAGUGAUUUGUGCAGAAAAAGUAGUGCUUUGAAGAAUCUGAGUUCAGUUGGCAUUUGUUGACCCAGUUAAUAUUUUAGUUUGGUGCAGGCCAGUUGGCGAUAUUAGUACUUUGAAUUGGUUAACAUUUUGGUCAUUGAUAGACUCAACCUCACCAUCUUUACAUCUUAUCCAUUUAUCUCUGUUCAGUACAAUCUUAAUCUUUACAUCUUAUCCUUUACACCCAACAAGACAUGAAUGAUUUUCUCAUGAUUAUUGUCUAACAGUGUAUGGUAAUUGUAGGUUAUUGAUUUCCAUCAAACAGUAGAGGUUGAGGGCAUUCGAUUUUGGUGCUAUACUGCUGGUCAUGUCCUUGGUGCUGCUAUGUUUAUGGUUGAUAUUGCCGGCGUUAGAGUCCUCUACACUGGUGAUUAUUCACGUGAAGAAGACCGGCAUCUCCGUGCUGCUGAGACCCCACAGUUCUCCCCUGAUGUAUGCAUUAUUGAAUCCACGUAUGGUGUACAGCACCAUCAACCUCGGCACAUCAGAGAGAAGCGAUUCACUGAUGUUAUCCAUUCAACCAUCUCUCAAGGGGGUCGUGUCUUAAUUCCUGUUUUUGCACUCGGCCGUGCCCAAGAACUUCUCCUGAUCCUUGAUGAGUAUUGGGCAAACCAUCCUGAUCUCCAAAAUAUUCCUAUUUAUUAUGCUUCCCCACUUGCAAAAAGAUGUUUAUCUGUAUAUGAGACAUACACCCUUUCCAUGAACGAUAGGAUCCGCAAUGCGAAGUCAAAUCCCUUCAUAUUCAAGUACAUAUCACCACUAAAGAGCAUUGAAAAUUUCAAAGAUGUAGGCCCGUCAGUGGUGAUGGCAAGCCCUGGUGGUCUUCAGAGUGGGCUGUCAAGGCAGCUAUUUGAUAUGUGGUGCUCUGAUAAGAAAAAUGCAUGUGUUAUUCCAGGGUAUGUGGUUGAAGGGACACUAGCUAAAACAAUCAUCAAUGAACCGAAGGAGGUAACUCUUAUGAAUGGACUCAGUGCUCCUCUCAACAUGCAGGUCCAUUACAUUUCAUUCUCUGCUCAUGCAGACUCUGUUCAGACAACUGCAUUUUUGGAAGAGCUGAGGCCUCCUAAUAUAAUCCUUGUUCAUGGAGAAGCUAAUGAGAUGGGGAGGCUCAAACAGAAGCUGAUGACCCAGUUUGCUGAUCGUAACACCAAAAUCCUCACCCCAAAGAAUUGUCAGUCUGUUGAAAUGUAUUUUAACUCACAGAAAAUGGCAAAAGCUAUUGGAAGGCUUGCCGAGAAGACCCCUGAAGUUGGUGAAAGUGUCAGCGGUUUACUGGUAAAAAAAGGCUUCAGUUAUCAAAUAAUGGCUUCUGAUGAUCUUCAUGUCUUCUCACAGCUGUGCACAGCAAAUGUCACUCAACGAAUUACCAUCCCAUUUGCUAGUGGCUUCACUGUGAUUAAACACCGGCUAAGGCAAAUAUAUGAGAGUGUAGAGUCUUCAGUGGAUGAGGAAUCUGGGGUGCCAACAUUGCGAGUGCAUGAUCGGGUGACGGUGAAGCAGGAUACAGAUAAACACAUUUCAGUACAUUGGUCAUCAGAUCCUAUAAGCGACAUGGUUUCAGACUCCAUUGUGGCUCUUAUUUUGAAUAUCAACCGA
Molecule: long non-coding RNA, 4287 nt
Filed under: Prunus dulcis (almond)
Lineage: Eukaryota; Viridiplantae; Streptophyta; Magnoliopsida; Rosales; Rosaceae
Description: sRNA ncRNA
Source: RNAcentral